CUGUGAAACAAGAUACAGGCUAGCGGCGGACGGGUGAGUAACACGUGGGUAACCUGCCCAAGAGAUCGGGAUAACACCUGGAAACAGAUGCUAAUACCGGAUAACAACAGAUGAUGCCUAUCAACUGUUUAAAAGAUGGUUCUGCUAUCACUCUUGGAUGGACCUGCGGUGCAUUAGCUAGUUGGUAGGGUAACGGCCUACCAAGGCGAUGAUGCAUAGCCGAGUUGAGAGACUGAUCGGCCACAUUGGGACUGAGACACGGCCCAAACUCCUACGGGAGGCAGCAGUAGGGAAUCUUCCACAAUGGACGCAAGUCUGAUGGAGCAACGCCGCGUGAGUGAAGAAGGGUUUCGGCUCGUAAAGCUCUGUUGUUGGUGAAGAAGGACAGGGGGUAGUAACUGACCUUUGUUUGACGGU
Molecule: ribosomal RNA, 417 nt
Filed under: uncultured Lactobacillus sp.
Lineage: Bacteria; Bacillati; Bacillota; Bacilli; Lactobacillales; Lactobacillaceae
Description: bacterial SSU rRNA
Rfam family: Bacterial small subunit ribosomal RNA
Source: RNAcentral